AGAAAACGCGUGAUAUUUGCUUAAAUGUGGGAUUCUCAGAGAUAAAACACGUGAUAUCCGAUUAAAAGUGGGAUUUCCGAAAAGAAAACUCGUGAUUUUUGCUUAAAUGGGGGAUUUCCGAAGACAAAACGCAUGAUUUUUGCUUAAAUGGGGGAUUUCUGAUGAGAAAACGCGUGAUAUUUGCUUAAAUGGGGGAUUUCUGAAGAGAAAACGCGUGAUUUUCGCUAAAAUGGGGGAUUUCCGAGAAGAAAACACGUGAUUUUUGCUUAAAUGGCAGAUUUCUGAAGAGAAAACGCAUGAUUUUCACUUAAAUGGGGGAUUUCCGAAGAGAA
RNAcentral lists this long non-coding RNA (332 nucleotides) under Gallus gallus (chicken). RNAcentral's name for it is "lncRNA (ENSGALG00010001644.1)". Lineage: Eukaryota; Metazoa; Chordata; Aves; Galliformes; Phasianidae. The record is from RNAcentral.